This is a non-coding RNA of Cinara cedri, 251 nucleotides long. The record is from the annotation of a GenBank genome assembly. NCBI's taxonomy places the organism in Eukaryota, Metazoa, Arthropoda, Insecta, Hemiptera, Aphididae.
UAAGCUUGAAUAUAUUGUAAGUACCUAAAGCUUGUAGACUUAUUUACUAGGUACCUAAUACCUAGCCUAACCUAGGUGCCAAUACAUGUUUCCGUGGAUACAUAUAGAUUAUUUAUGCGAGAAACUUUUUUGUUAAGUUUGUAACUUAUGAUAUUGAUGCUACUAAAAUAUGUGUAUUAUAUGUAUGGUCUACGUUUUCUGUGCGAUCUAUUGUGGUUUAUCUAAUCUAGAUACUGUGCAAUUCCUUAAUA